AGAAAUAGCCACAUAUCCCAGUCAUCAAUACUGAGAGACAUGAGCAGGGUUGGGCCUGGUUAGUACUUGGAUGGGAGACCGCCUGGGAGGACCGGGUGCUGUA
RNAcentral lists this ribosomal RNA (103 nucleotides) under Propithecus coquereli (Coquerel's sifaka). The record is from RNAcentral. Lineage: Eukaryota; Metazoa; Chordata; Mammalia; Primates; Indriidae.